AGGCCAUGGUGUGGACAUUUUCAGAGCAAAUCCUUAUACCUCUCCCAUGCUUCAUAUAAAGACUCGAAAUCCAGCUGUGUGAAAGAAGUGAUGUCGUUUCUCAUCUU
This 107-nucleotide small nucleolar RNA is filed under the name Theobroma cacao (cacao). RNAcentral's name for it is "Plant small nucleolar RNA R71". It matches the Rfam family "Plant small nucleolar RNA R71". Rfam says of the family: R71 is a member of the C/D box family of snoRNAs containing the C (UGAUGA) and D (CUGA) box motifs. Multiple nearly identical copies of this snoRNA have been identified in Arabidopsis, and it is thought to function as a 2'-O-ribose methylation guide for 18S ribosomal RNA. The record is from Rfam by way of RNAcentral. Lineage: Eukaryota; Viridiplantae; Streptophyta; Magnoliopsida; Malvales; Malvaceae.